This 253-nucleotide ribosomal RNA is filed under the name uncultured bacterium. RNAcentral's name for it is "partial 16S ribosomal RNA". It matches the Rfam family "Bacterial small subunit ribosomal RNA", at positions 524 to 776 of the family's 1533-position model. The record is from RNAcentral.
UACAGAGGGUGCAAACGUUGUUCGGAAUUACUGGGCGUAAAGCGCGUGUAGGCGGCUAAGUAAGUCGGGCGUGAAAUCCCACGGCUCAACCAUGGAAGUGCACUCGAAACUGCAUAGCUAGAGUCCUGGAGAGGAAGGUGGAAUGCUUGGUGUAGAGGUGAAAUUCGUAGAUAUCAAGCGGAACACCGGUGGCGAAGGCGGCCUUCUGGACAGUGACUGACGCUGAGACGCGAAAGCGUGGGGAGCAAACAGG